RNAcentral lists this ribosomal RNA (466 nucleotides) under uncultured bacterium. Its description in RNAcentral is "partial 16S ribosomal RNA". It matches the Rfam family "Bacterial small subunit ribosomal RNA", at positions 30 to 507 of the family's 1533-position model. The record is from RNAcentral.
CGAACGCUGGCGGCGUGCUUACCACAUGCAAGUCGAACGGCAAGGCCCUGCUUUUGUGGGGUGCUCGAGUGGCGAACGGGUGAGUAACACGUGAGUAACCUGCCCUUGACUUUGGGAUAACUUCAGGAAACUGGGGCUAAUACCGGAUAGGAGCUCCUGCUGCAUGGUGGGGGUUGGAAAGUUUCGGCGGUUGGGGAUGGACUCGCGGCUUAUCAGCUUGUUGGUGGGGUAGUGGCUUACCAAGGCUUUGACGGGUAGCCGGCCUGAGAGGGUGACCGGCCACAUUGGGACUGAGAUACGGCCCAGACUCCUACGGGAGGCAGCAGUGGGGAAUAUUGCACAAUGGGCGGAAGCCUGAUGCAGCAACGCCGCGUGCGGGAUGACGGCCUUCGGGUUGUAAACCGCUUUCGCCUGUGACGAAGCGUGAGUGACGGUAAUGGGUAAAGAAGCACCGGCUAACUACGUG